RNAcentral lists this ribosomal RNA (301 nucleotides) under uncultured bacterium. RNAcentral describes it as "partial 16S ribosomal RNA". It matches the Rfam family "Bacterial small subunit ribosomal RNA", at positions 509 to 807 of the family's 1533-position model. The record is from RNAcentral.
CAGUCGCCGCGGUAAUACGUAGGGUGCGAGCGUUAAUCGGAAUUACUGGGCGUAAAGCGUGCGCAGGCGGUUGUGUAAGACAGAUGUGAAAUCCCCGGGCUUAACCUGGGAACUGCAUUUGUGACUGGCGGGCUAGAGUAUGGCAGAGGGGGGUAGAAUUCCACGUGUAGCAGUGAAAUGCGUAGAGACGUGGAGGAAUACCGAUGGCGAAGGCAGCCCCCUGGGCCAAUACUGACGCUCAUGCACGAAAGCGUGGGGAGCAAACAGGAUUAGAUACCCGUGUAGUCCCUGUCUCUUAUAC